CGGCACGAGUUCGAGCCCCCCACUCUCCUCUCUUAAAGCUUUCUUAGCAAUGAACAUCUAGGGUUUUCGUUUCAGGACUCGAGAAGCAGAGCCGCCCACAUGAGUUCAAAAUCAAAUCGCAACCGUCCUGUGGCGGCGAAGGCGACGGCAGUGGUGAUUCCUCCUCCUCCGUCUACGCCGUUAUCGGAGUCCGAUUACGCCUUCACCAUAACCAGAACAGCAGUUGCGCAGAUCUGCAGUUCCAUUGGAUUCACAGCGGCAGAAGCUCCCGUUCUCGGAAUCCUAACAGACAUCGCCAUCAGGUACCUGAGAACAAUCGCUAAGUCCGCCGCGGAUUCAGCCAACUCAGCAUGCCGUACCCAGGCAAAUCUCGUCGACACAAUCGCCGCCGUGGAUGAGCUGAGCUCGGUGAGUGGAUUCCCCGGAGCAUGGAGAGCUACCGAUUGUUUUCUCAACUCCGGCGCGGUGAAGAAACUCGAUACAUUCACAGAGGAUUCCAAGGAAAUUCCGUUCGCAAAACCGUUGCGUAGGAAAAUAUUUUCAUUAGGAAGCAGAAAAGGUUUGAGAAAUGUAGGCAGUAGUAGUAAGAUUGAGUACCUUGGAGGAGAUAAGAAGCAUAUCCCGAAAUGGCUACCAGUAAUGCCGGUGAUUGUGAAUCACGAAAAGGAAAUUGUUGAGAAGAGAAAAAGGGAACUUUGGGGAUAUUGUGGUGCUAAAACUGAGGAGGAACCAAAGAGGGAGAAAAAAACUGCUGCUGAUAGUGUGGAAAAGGAAAGGAAAGGACUUGAAUUGCCAUUGAAGAGAGGGAAAGUGAGGUUUAAGAUUGGUGGUGGUGGGGUGUCAGGUGUGUGUAGAAGUGGUGGAAUAGGGAAGAGAGUAUUAUGUGAGAAUUGGAAUUUUGAUGAUGAAAACUCUCAUCAAAACAAGAAUAGCAGCUUUGAUGAGGUAAUACAAGUGUGAUCUCAUAUUAUAAAAAACUAUUUUCGAAAGAAACUUGGCGAGGAACAAAAUGAGAUGAUAGAGUGAGUAUGAAGAAAGAAGUGGAG
Molecule: unclassified non-coding RNA, 1046 nt
Filed under: Hevea brasiliensis (rubber tree)
Lineage: Eukaryota; Viridiplantae; Streptophyta; Magnoliopsida; Malpighiales; Euphorbiaceae
Source: RNAcentral